AAUUAGUAUUGGAUUCAUUAGUAAUCUAUUGUUAAAACCUUCUAGCGAUGGGAGUUUUGGCAAUGAAUAAUUGCUAAUUCAUUAGACAAUGUGUUAAUGACAGAUUUUAAUACAUCAUUAAAAAUAUAAAUCAGUGACUAAUCCAUCAUUAAUCAAUAUUAUUAGCCAUAAAAUUUUAAUUUGUCGCUAAAUAUCAUCUUUUCUUGUAUUAAUUGUUCAACCCCAUGUAGGAAAGCUCUCGAAUUAUUUUUCUAUUUCAAAUUUUUAAUCUUGAAGAGGA
RNAcentral lists this unclassified non-coding RNA (280 nucleotides) under Hevea brasiliensis (rubber tree). The record is from RNAcentral. Lineage: Eukaryota; Viridiplantae; Streptophyta; Magnoliopsida; Malpighiales; Euphorbiaceae.